This 546-nucleotide ribosomal RNA is filed under the name uncultured archaeon. Its description in RNAcentral is "bacterial SSU rRNA". It matches the Rfam family "Bacterial small subunit ribosomal RNA", at positions 509 to 1050 of the family's 1533-position model. The record is from RNAcentral.
CAGCCGCCGCGGUAAUACGUAGGUGGCGAGCGUUGUCCGGAAUGACUGGGCGUAAAGGGUGCGUAGGCGGCUUGACAAGUUGGAAGUGUAAUACCCGGGCUUAACUUGGGUGCUACUUCCAAGACUGCCGAGCUUGAGUGUGGGAGAGGUAAGCGGAAUUCCUAGUGUAGCGGUGAAAUGCGUAGAUAUUAGGAGGAACACCGGCGGCGAAGGCGGCUUACUGGACCAUAACUGACGCUGAGGCACGAAAGCGUGGGGAGCAAACAGGAUUAGAUACCCUGGUAGUCCACGCUGUAAACGAUGGAUACAAGGUGUAGGGGGUAUCGACGCCCUCUGUGCCGACGCUAACGCAGUAAGUAUCCCGCCUGGGGAGUACGGCCGCAAGGCUAAAACUCAAAGGAAUUGACGGGGACCCGCACAAGCAGCGGAGCAUGUGGUUUAAUUCGAAGCAACGCGAAGAACCUUACCAAGGCUUGACAUCGCAUGCAUAGUAUGGAAACAUACGAAAUCGUAGCAAUACGACGUGCAGACAGGAGGUGCAUGGCC